Molecule: long non-coding RNA, 1329 nt
Organism: Thunnus maccoyii (southern bluefin tuna)
Lineage: Eukaryota; Metazoa; Chordata; Actinopteri; Scombriformes; Scombridae
Exons: 4
Source: RefSeq, a predicted model, not a curated record
GUACUAUAUUUGGCUAAGCUAACGGCUAACCACUGUGGUAGAGACAGUGGAAAGCAUUACGUUGUACACACCUGAGUGAGAAACAUGUCUGCCCCCACCAGGCUUUUCUCUGAAGUUUUAGGGACAGAAAAUGCAAACGCUGAAACGUUAACUGUCCUUGCAAUUCUCACUCGGAGCAGAAAGAGAAAAGUGGCAGUGAUGUUUACUAAAGUUGUUGUGUAAAAUCGCUCAGCUUAAUUUUGCGCAUUUCUGAAGAAAUGUCGCUUCAGCAUCUCGUUUCACUCAUUUUGCUUGAUAUGGAGUAUUAAAUCAGCCUUCCUGUCCGUAAGUCACAGGUCUAACAUCGUUGCAGUCGCAGUGAGGCUAUGUGGCUCUAUAACAGCAGCAGAUGUAUGUGAUACUGUGUGCCAAACUUGCAAUUCAAGAGGCGCACAUGUUACAAAGCUGUCUCCCUUUUUCUACGAGUUAGCGUUGGACAUGCACAGUUUAACUCCAGUUUAACACUUUCUUAAGCCAGAAGAGGCAGGGCAAGGAGCUUCUCUUCAACAUUGUUCUGAGCUCUGCAUAAGAGACACAAAGAGCUCCGGAAACUCAUCAAAUGUCUGAACACCAGACCAGACCCAGCCACAGCAUCCACUGGAAAGCGGUCAAAGGUCAUUGACCAGGAGUCUGUGGAUGGCCGGAGAAAGAUCAAGGAGGACAUUCAAAUCCAACGCCAGACCAUCUUUGAAGAUGAGGCUGCCGUCCCCCCUCAUAUACAACCAGCUGUUAUCACAUGAGAGAAAUUGGUCACAUGAUAACAAAACUCCUUAAGAACUGAGUAACUCCAUCCACUGAGAAAGGCCACAAGAUGCCUCAGAAACAACAAUCUCGACUUUGUGACCUUUUUUGUUUGUUCUUAUUUAGUCUAGUUUUCAACAUUGUGGUUCACCAUAAGGUUGAGAUCUCCCUUCCCUUUCUUCCUUGGCCUUAAAGACAAAUGGCAAUGCUCUCAAGUGUUUUGGCGGACAGGCACUUUAGCAAACCCACUCUGCUUGGUGCUGUGGACAUGUGUUAAGUUUUUGAUGUGCUGGACAUUCUUUGUCUGCAGACUCUCAGAAACAGAAUUUACCUCAAUCAGGCUGUUGUUUUUAUUUGUCUGCCUCAGCAGUAUUUGAGCCACAUAUGACAGUACGUUGCCCACUUGAUGUUACAUUAAGAGUUGAAUUUACUGUGUUAAUGUUUAAAGACUUGUGAUCAGGACAUUGAAUAGAGGUUGCUUACAUGGAUAAUGCUGUACUGGUUUCACUGAAAAAGAAAAUACACUGAUCAUUUGGAAAGAUCCUUCAA